AAUGUUAAUCUUGUUUUACUUGUCUUCUCACUGCAUUGCAGCUUAAGAAAUUAGUAUUGCAUGCUGCGAGCUCAGACUCAGCCAGAGGGCUAACCCAACAGAUUUUGAUGCCUAAAACAUCUUUAAGCUCAUUUAAAAUUCUUAAGCAUUUUAAAUCUAUUUAUAAUUAAAGUCUCAAAAAAACGAAGGUAAGGUUCGAACUGUCCACGAAAGAGUCACUAAUCUAUGAAACAAUCACUAGACUACGAAACAUUUUUAAAAUUUGAUGCCCUUUAAUAUUAUCUAUAAUUUUAGGCGCGUAAAGCAUGAGUUUCACCAACUUUAGCCCAGGGCCGGCCCUGCUCAGCCAUAAGAGAAGCAAAAGAUGUAAUGCAAAACUCCAAUACGCAGUAAUGAUAACAAAAAAAAGUUUGUUCGUUAAAGCUUAUCAAU
This 432-nucleotide small RNA is filed under the name Arabidopsis thaliana (thale cress). Its description in RNAcentral is "ATSL190160". The record is from RNAcentral. Lineage: Eukaryota; Viridiplantae; Streptophyta; Magnoliopsida; Brassicales; Brassicaceae.